Molecule: long non-coding RNA, 561 nt
Filed under: Ricinus communis (castor bean)
Lineage: Eukaryota; Viridiplantae; Streptophyta; Magnoliopsida; Malpighiales; Euphorbiaceae
Description: long non-coding RNA (RCOM_LNC001865)
Source: RNAcentral
UCCGUCUCUGUGGGUAAAUUUUAUUGGCAGUCUACAUCAGAAGUGUUGUUGGCAAGCUUAUCUGCAAUAUACAGUAAUCAGUCACUUCAGAAUAUUUGCAACCACUAACCACUAUAAAACAAGAGACAGCUAGAAUGAUUAAGAAAAUUUCUCCAUAAUCUACAAAAGAUUAUAUAGCUUUAAUCUGAGGGCAUCCGAGAAAUGUGAAACUGAGCAAGUUGUUGCUGCACUUCAAAUAUUCCUGAAGUCACAGGACAAAGUUUGUUAGGCAAUGAAAAUGACUCGGAACCUCUGGGAAGGAGCAUGACUACGCUUUCUGAGUGAUUAUGUCCGUUUCCUGCUCCAAAGUGUCAACAUAUACUUGAUGGUACCAUGCAGCAUUCAGUUCUUCAAUUUUAAUGUAAUCAUUGGCAGUUAUGUUUAGCAGACAAAUUUAUCAGACUUCUGAGAUAUAUAUAUAUAUAUAUAUAUAUAUAUAUAUAUAACACUUUUUUCUUUCCUCCCAGGCAUGUAUUAACUACUUUGGAACAUGACAUUUGCUUAUCAAAAGUCAGGCCCGCA